AAAGCUUCCAAUCGUCCUUUGGAGAGGACGAGGUGCGGAGAAAGUCCGUUCGCUUGGGCGAGGUGUAGCAGCAGCGAGCGGCUGGAGUCUCGGUUGCAGUCUGACUAACCGAAGGGGUCGCCGUGGAUUAGGAGGGCUUGUUCAACGUGGCUUCACUUCUAAGUGCCCGGUUGGAUUUGAUUGCUGUCAUAGUGUGAUACCGCUGUGUACACAUCCUUUUUUAGUCAACGAGAUCUGUAUUACUGCCAGAUUGUGGUUCGUGUUUUUUACACUGUCUGACCUGCUGAGGAUUUCCAGCAGUUCGAUGCUUCUAAUUCAGACUUCCAGCCAUCACAGUGUUUUACUUUGUGAUUUUACCUGGAAUUUUUCCCAAUGGCAUUCCCACCGUCCAUUCAUUCCAAGAGAUAGCAGCCAUUGGCUCUGAAAAAGAAAUUGGGUGAGACUUCUGAGACUUGUACUGGUGUUUCAGGUAAAAUCAUAUAAUUCUAAUGUCAAAGAAGGAUGCAACCUGAAAAUCAAAAAUCUGCAGCUAUUGGGUAUCUGAAAUAAAUACAGAAAAUGCCGGAAACACUCAGCAGGCCAGACAGCAUCUGUGGAGAGAGAAACAGAAGUUAAUGUUUCAGGUUGAAUACCCAAUAGGUCCAUGUCUAGUAAAACACAGUAUUCCACAAAGAGGAACCACGUAACAAAGCAAAGGAAUAUGUUUCAUCACCUCUUCACCCUGGUAACAAUUACAUCAUGUAAA
Molecule: long non-coding RNA, 745 nt
Organism: Pristis pectinata (smalltooth sawfish)
Lineage: Eukaryota; Metazoa; Chordata; Chondrichthyes; Rhinopristiformes; Pristidae
Exons: 4
Source: RefSeq, a predicted model, not a curated record